AGAGUUUGAUCAUGGCUCAGAAUCAACGCUGGCGGCGUGCCUCAGACAUGCAAGUCGAACGAUUAAACUUCCUUUACGGGGAAGAUAUAAAGUGGCGUACGGGUGAGUAACACGUAGGUAAUGUACCUUUGGGUGGGGAAUAACUUAGGGAAACUUAAGCUAAUACCGCAUAAUGCAGCGGCUCGAUAUCGAGACAGUUGUUAAAGGAGUAAUCCGCCUAAAGAGCAGCCUGCGGCAGAUUAGCUAGUUGGUAAGGUAAUGGCUUACCAAGGCUACGAUCUGUAACCGACCUGAGAGGGUGGUCGGUCACACUGACACUGAAUAACGGGUCAGACUCCUACGGGAGGCAGCAGUCGGGAAUUUUGGGCAAUGGGCGAAAGCCUGACCCAGCAACGCCGCGUGAAGGAUGAAGUCUCUCGGGAUGUAAACUUCGUAAGAAUAGGAAGAAUAAAUGACGGUACUAUUUGUAAGGUCCGGCUAACUACGUG
RNAcentral lists this ribosomal RNA (488 nucleotides) under uncultured bacterium. Its description in RNAcentral is "bacterial SSU rRNA". It matches the Rfam family "Bacterial small subunit ribosomal RNA", at positions 8 to 507 of the family's 1533-position model. The record is from RNAcentral.